GCCAGGUGCAGUGGUGCACACCUGUAGUCCCAGUUACUCAGGAGGCUAAGGCAGGAGGAUUGCUUGAGCCCAGGAGGUCAAGGCUGCAGUGACCUAUGAUCAUAUCACUGCACUCCAGCCUGGGCAACAGAGCAAGCCCCUGUCUCUA
Molecule: unclassified non-coding RNA, 148 nt
Organism: Pongo abelii (Sumatran orangutan)
Lineage: Eukaryota; Metazoa; Chordata; Mammalia; Primates; Hominidae
Rfam family: Metazoan signal recognition particle RNA
About the family: The signal recognition particle (SRP) is a universally conserved ribonucleoprotein. It is involved in the co-translational targeting of proteins to membranes. The eukaryotic SRP consists of a 300-nucleotide 7S RNA and six proteins: SRPs 72, 68, 54, 19, 14, and 9.
Source: Ensembl